CUAAGCAAGAAAGAGCGUAUGGCGGAUGCCUAGGCACUAAGAGGCGAAGAAGGACGCAGCGAACGGCGAAACGCGACGGCGAGCAGUAAGCAGGCAACGACCCGUCGAUGUCCGAAUGGGGGAACCCAUCAUUUUGAGAGGAAUGAUAUCGUCUGAUGAAUAAAUAGUCAGACGAGGCGAGACGCAGGGAACUGAAACAUCUCAGUACCUGCAGGAGAAGAAAGUAAGAACGAUUCCGUAAGUAGCGGCGAGCGAAAGCGGAGGAGCCCAAACCAUCGUAAAGAUGGGGUUAUAGGGCUGCCAAUAAAGUCGACUUGACAUGAUAGGAGAAGCGCAGGGGAAGGCGCAGCGAAGAGGGUGACACUCCCGUAUCCGAAAUCGUGGAGAGAGGCGAGGCAGUACCUGAGUACGUCGGGGCACGUGAAAUCCUGACGGAAUUAUCGAGGACCAUCUCGAAAGGCUAAAUACUCCUUAGUGACCGAUAGCGAACCAGUACCGUGAGGGAAAGGUGAAAAGAACCCCGGGAGGGGAGUGAAAGAGAACCUGAAACCAUAUGCUUACAAGAAGUCAGAGCCCGUUAAAGGGUGAUGGCGUGCCUUUUGUAGAAUGAGCCGGCGAGUUAUGAUAUGGAGCGAGGUUAAGCGGGAGACGCGGAGCCGAAGCGAAAGCGAGUCUUAAUAGGGCGACAGUUGCAUGUCAUAGACCCGAAACCGGGUGAUCUAGCCAUGAUCAGGUUGAAGUUGGGGUAGAACCCGAUGGAGGACCGAACCGACCCCCGUUGAAACGUUGGCGGAUGAAUUGUGGCUAGGGGUGAAAUUCCAAACGAACCCGGAGAUAGCUGGUUCUCCCCGAAAUAGCUUUAGGGCUAGCGUCGCGCGAAGUCACGUGAAGGUAGAGCACUGAAUAUGUGAUGGCCUCAUCCCGAGGUACUGAGCAUAAUCAAACUCCGAAUGUCACGAGGACAUGCGCGGCAGUCAGACUGCGGGUGAUAAGGUCCGUAGUCAAGAGGGAAACAGCCCAGACCAUCAGCUAAGGUCCCAAAAUAUAUGCUAAGUGGAAAAGGAUGUGGAGAUGUCCAGACAACCAGGAGGUUGGCUCAGAAGCAGCCACCCUUUAAAGAGUGCGUAACAGCUCACUGGUCGAAUGACUCUGCGCCGAAAAUUUACCGGGGCUAAGCAUAAUACCGAAGCUAUGGAUUUAUAGAGAAUAUAAGUGGUAGGGGAGCGUUCCAGUCAGCGAGGAAGCAUGAUCGUAAGGACAUGUGGAGCGGCUGGAAGAGAGAAUGCCGGUGUGAGUAGCGGCACGUGGGUGAGAAUCCCACGCACCGAAGACCCAAGGUUUCCAGAGGAAGGUUCGUCCGCUCUGGGUAAGUCGGGACCUAAGGCGAGGCCGAGAGGCGUAGUCGAUGGACAACGGGUGGAUAUUCCCGUACCUGGCGUGAGGGCGAUGGAGUGACGGAGAAGGCUAGGCGAUCCAGCUGCUGGAAUAGCUGGUGCAAGCGAGGUAGGGGACAUCCAGGCAAAUCCGGAUGUAAUUUCGAAAAUAACCCGAAGACGUGAAGCGUAUGGAACAUUACGAUAAGUACAGAAGUCGCCGAAGCCAUCUUCCAAGAAAAGCUUCUAGCGAUACCUCAAGUCAGCCCGUACCGAAAAUGGACACACAUGGGUGAGGAGAGAAUCCUAAGGUGAGCGAGAGAACUAUAGCUAAGGAACUCUGCAAAAUGACUCCGUAACUUCGGGAGAAGGAGUGCUCAGUGAAAGCUGAGCCGCAGUAAAACGGCCCAAGCGACUGUUUACCAAAAACACAGCUCUCUGCCAAGACGCAAGUCGAAGUAUAGGGGGUGACGCCUGCCCGGUGCUGGAAGGUUAAGAGGAGUGUUCAGUCAUAAGGCGAAGCCAUGAAUUGAAGCCCCAGUAAACGGCGGCCGUAACUAUAACGGUCCUAAGGUAGCGAAAUUCCUUGUCAGGUAAGUUCUGACCCGCACGAAAGGCGUAACGAUUUGGGCGCUGUCUCAGCUGUAGACUCGGUGAAGUCUUAGUACCUGUGAAGAUGCAGGUUACCCGCGACUAGACGGAAAGACCCCAUGGAGCUUUACUGUAGCUUGAUAUUGGAUUUUGAUGCAUGAUGUACAGGAUAGGUAGGAGACUGGGAGACGGAUACGCCAGUAUUCGAGGAGUCGACGUUGGGAUACUACCCUUGAUGCAUUGAAGUUCUAACCGGACGUCGUGAAGCCGAUGACGGGACAGUGUCAGGUGGGCAGUUUGACUGGGGCGGUCGCCUCCCAAAGAGUAACGGAGGCGCCCAAAGAUACCCUCAGCAUGGUUGGAAAUCAUGCGCAGAGUGCGAAGGCAGAAGGGUGUUUGACUGCGAGACAUACAGGUCGAGCAGGGACGAAAGUCGGGCUUAGUGAUCCGGCGGUGCCGAAUGGAAGGGCCGUCGCUCAACGGAUAAA
This 2452-nucleotide ribosomal RNA is filed under the name human gut metagenome. Its description in RNAcentral is "bacterial LSU rRNA". It matches the Rfam family "Bacterial large subunit ribosomal RNA", at positions 1 to 2460 of the family's 2925-position model. The record is from RNAcentral.